CUCAGAACGAACGCUGGUGGCGUGUUUGUACAUGCAAGUCGAGCGAGGACGGUAGCAAUACCGAGCCGAGCGGCGAACGGGUGAGUAACGCGUAAGCAAUCUGCCCCACAAUCGGGAACAACCGUGCCAACGCGCGGCUAAUGCCGGAUAUUGUAGUCUACUGCAUAGUAGGCCAACGAAAGAUUUAUUGUUGUGGGAUGAGCUUGCGUCCGAUUAGCUAGUUGGCGGGGUAAUAGCCCACCAAGGCGACGAUCGGUAGCCGGCCUGAGAGGGUGAUCGGCCACAUUGGGACUGAGAUACGGCCCAGACUCCUACGGGAGGCAGCAGUAGGGAAUAUUGCGCAAUGGGGGGAACCCUGACGCAGCCAACGCCACGUGUGGGAAGAAGCAUUUCGGUGUGUAAACCACUGUCGGAAAGGAAUAACGGAAGACUUCGGUCUUUAUGAAUGUACUUUUAGAGGAAGCACCGGCAAACUUCGUGCCAGCAGCCGC
This 491-nucleotide ribosomal RNA is filed under the name uncultured bacterium. Its description in RNAcentral is "bacterial SSU rRNA". It matches the Rfam family "Bacterial small subunit ribosomal RNA", at positions 23 to 518 of the family's 1533-position model. The record is from RNAcentral.